CACUCCUACGGGAGGCAGCAGUGGGGAAUUUUGGACAAUGGGCGAAAGCCUGAUCCAGCAAUGCCGCGUGAGUGAAGAAGGCCUUCGGGUUGUAAAGCUCUUUUGUCAGGGAAGAAACGGUGAAAGCUAAUAUCUUUUCUAAUGACGGUACCUGAAGAAUAAGCACCGGCUAACUACGUGCCAGCAGCCGCGGUAAUACGUAGGGUGCAAGCGUUAAUCGGAAUUACUGGGCGUAAAGCGUGCGCAGGCGGUUUUGCAAGUCUGAUGUGAAAUCCCCGGGCUCAACCUGGGAAUUGCAUUGGGGACUGCAAGGCUAGAAUCUGGCAGAGUGGGGUAGAAUUCCACGUGUAGCAGUGAAAUGCGUAGAUAUGUGGAGGAACACCGAUGGCGAAGGCAGCCCCCUGGGUCAAGAUUGACGCUCAUGCACGAAAGCGUGGGGAGCAAACAGGAUUAGAAACCCUAGUAGUCCCAUG
Molecule: ribosomal RNA, 473 nt
Filed under: uncultured organism
Description: partial 16S ribosomal RNA
Rfam family: Bacterial small subunit ribosomal RNA
Source: RNAcentral